GAUAGCUGGUUCUCUCCGAAAUAGCUUUAGGGCUAGCCUCAAGUGAUGAUUAUUGGAGGUAGAGCACUGUUUGGACGAGGGGCCCCUCUCGGGUUACCGAAUUCAGACAAACUCCGAAUGCCAAAUAAUUUAACUUGGGAGUCAGAAUGUGGGUGAUAAGGUCCAUAUUCGAAAGGGAAACAGCCCAGACCACCAGCUAAGGUCCCAAAAUAUAUGUUAAGUGGAAAAGGAUGUGGCGUUGCCCAGACAACUAGGAUGUUGGCUUAGAAGCAGCCAUCAUUUAAAGAGUGCGUAAUAGCUCACUAGUCGAGUGACACUGCGCCGAAAAUGUACCGGGGCUAAACAUAU
This 348-nucleotide ribosomal RNA is filed under the name Staphylococcus pseudintermedius. Its description in RNAcentral is "partial 23S ribosomal RNA". It matches the Rfam family "Bacterial large subunit ribosomal RNA", at positions 844 to 1191 of the family's 2925-position model. Lineage: Bacteria; Bacillati; Bacillota; Bacilli; Caryophanales; Staphylococcaceae. The record is from RNAcentral.